Molecule: long non-coding RNA, 1222 nt
Filed under: Chinchilla lanigera (long-tailed chinchilla)
Lineage: Eukaryota; Metazoa; Chordata; Mammalia; Rodentia; Chinchillidae
Description: lncRNA (ENSCLAG00000022870.1)
Source: RNAcentral
CGGCAGAUAGGUGUGAUCAGAUUUUGCACUUUGGCCGUGGUGUGAAGAAUGCUACUAGGGAAGGGGAGCAGUGGAUUCAGAGGAGCAGUUAAGAGGCCACUGAAAUUGCUGCGAGAGAUGACGGCUCGCAUGGGAAUAGUCACGACGGUGCAGACCCCUGAGACGCAGGUCAGAAACUACACCCACCACUCAGGCUAUAGAAGAAAAGACUUGGAUUAUGUGGGAAGACAGCCAGGGUUCCAUCGAGUGAGAAGAACUACAAAGCAAGACAUGUCUGAAAUGAAGGGUGCUGGCACAGCCUUUCUUCUGCGGCUCUGGCAGGACACAGCAGAGGCCAAUAAGGGGGUCAGGGUGUCUUCUGGAAGAGGUGUGCUUGCGCCUCCUCUUGGAGGAUAAGCAGAACUGAGUUAGUAAGUGUAGGAGCAUUUUUUCCCUUUGGGACUGAGCACCAGUGCAUCCCGAGGUCCUCUCAGGCACAAGUUUAAUUGAUUGUGUUUCCUAGCUUGUCAUCUGUCCCAUGGGCCAACUGAUACGUUAAUUUUUCUCUUGUCUCACCACAGCCUCCCUCCCCUAAUGUGGCAAGUGAAAAGUACAGGAGGCAGCAAUGUACAAUGCUUUUUAAUAUUGAUAAAUAAAAAAUCCUGCUCAUGCCUGAUGCUCUCACCCUCAGUAUUUCAGAAGGGGACUGUGUUUGGACACAGGGUCUUAGUUAAAAUAAGGGCAUCAGAGGACCCCUCAUCCUGUGACUGGUAUCAGGAGAUCUGAAUACAGACGCAUUCAGAGAAACCCAUGUAAGACCCAAGGAGGACGUGCCCAUCUGUAAGCCAAGGAGAAGCCUCAGAAUGAAACCAGCUCUGCCAAUACCUCCAUCUUGGACUUCCUUGCAGAGCUAACUGCGAGGAAAUAAAGUUCUGUUGUUUAACUCACCCAGGCUGCGGUGUUGGUUAUAGCAGCCACUGGAAACCCUCAGCCUGCCUUUUCCCACUCUCGUGUGUACUGAAUGAAAGUGGCCUUUGUUGGGCUGAUAUCUCUGUAGCAACUUCUGGCUAAAAGAAUCGUGGUUGGAAAAGGGGAGUUCAGAAGAGAGAACACCCCGCUUUCUUGUCUUCAAGAGUUCUGUGACCUGAAGGCACACACCAGGAAAUCUAUCACCCUGCAGAACUGGCAUCGUGUGACAUCUGGAAAGUAAUAAGCCUAUCCUUAUUAUGAGCCCAUACUUGGC